Molecule: ribosomal RNA, 253 nt
Filed under: uncultured bacterium
Lineage: Bacteria
Description: partial 16S ribosomal RNA
Rfam family: Bacterial small subunit ribosomal RNA
Source: RNAcentral
UACAGAGGUCCCAAGCGUUGUUCGGAUUCACUGGGCGUAAAGGGUGCGUAGGCGGUCGGGUAAGUCUGAUGUGAAAUCUUCAAGCUCAACUUGGAAACUGCAUCGGAUACUAUUCGGCUCGAGGAAUGGAGGGGAGACUGGAAUACUUGGUGUAGCGGUGAAAUGCGCAGAUAUCAGGAGGAACACCGGUGGCGAAGGCGGGUCUCUGGGCCGAUACUGACGCUGAGGAGCGAAAGCGUGGGGAGCGAACAGG